Long non-coding RNA from Nerophis ophidion (straightnose pipefish), 782 nucleotides. RefSeq lists it as uncharacterized. The record is from RefSeq and is a predicted model, not a curated record. Lineage: Eukaryota; Metazoa; Chordata; Actinopteri; Syngnathiformes; Syngnathidae. The transcript is spliced from 5 exons.
CUUGCAGAACAGUGACGCCAAGUGGCCACUUGAAUGUUUGUAUUGAUGCAGUCUGUUCCGUGUGUAAGGUCAAAGGCUGCCAUGUUUUGUUCUCCUUCCUAGUGCAUUCCUCUACGCUCCUGUCACAACACUUGCCAGCUCGGUGGUAACAAAACAAGGUUGGAACAACACAGCAGGCUUCCCCAAGUGCGUGGGUGAGAAAACAAGCUCCUCCUGACUCAGGCGUGAUUGUGAUCACCCAGCAGUAAACAAGCCAAGGGAUCAGCCCACCAGCGAUGACUUCAUCCCGGCCCGGCGGUGGAAUGUAGAAAAGCAAAACGGAAUCACUCCCAGCUGCAUCAGAAGGCCAGGGGUACCUAAUGAAGUGGCCUGUGAGUGUGCAUCCAUCCACCCAUCAAGGACACCAGUCGUCAUACUUGACAUCUCAUACUACAGAAAGGAAGUCACCGAUGGUGAGAAGUUGCGGUGUUAAUUUGACAGAGCGCCACUUCCUGUCAGCACAGAGGAUGUUCCCAGACAAUCUUUGAUGGACGCCAGCAAACCGGAGUAAAGGAAGUGGAGACAGAUUGGCUUGAUUGAGUUCACCUGUGAAAAAUGUUUGAGCUUCAGUCAGUCCUUUUUGACAUUCUGCUAAGAGGGAGGGAGGCAGCUCCUGUGUGGACUCAGAAGACGCAACUGGUGAGUUGUUUGCUUGUUUGGACUGAGGGGAAUGUUUAAAGAAAAUCAUUUCACUGGGGAAAAUGUUUAAAGGAGAUCAUUUCACUGAUGUUUACAAAUUGUUU